This is a long non-coding RNA of Stylophora pistillata, 915 nucleotides long. NCBI's taxonomy places the organism in Eukaryota, Metazoa, Cnidaria, Anthozoa, Scleractinia, Pocilloporidae. The record is from RefSeq and is a predicted model, not a curated record.
UUGUUAGAAUACUUCAACAUGGAGGAAAUUAAGUGGUUUUAGAUGUGUCAUCCAUUAUUUAGUGUGUAAAUCGCUGAUAACCAGACAUUUUGAAGAGUUUUUCCUUUAUCCCAUUGGAAAGUUAUGCUUUCGUGGAAGUGAUUUACAUGUAAUUAAAAUACCCUCCAGGGGGAGGGCAGAUGGGAGAAAGAUCUUGUGACAAGGGAGAGAGCAUUUUCUCAUAGAUGAUGAAGAAUGACUUGGAUGUUGCCAUUCCCCAUGAAUGAUAUUACAGGUUACCUCUGGUGUUUGAUCAAGGUUCCCUAACAUAUUAUGUUUCUAGACCUAAAUCCUGUCCUGCAUGGAGCAAAGAACUGUAAAAGCCGAGUGCCAUGCCCACGGGCACAAACCUAUUUCACAGCCAGGGCUUGAGUUGCAACCUUGGAAUAUGGGUCGUGCUCUUGGGUCCCACAAAAUCAAAGACGUAGGUGUGAAAUCACGUACACCGCAAUGGACAAUUAUCUAGAGAAGAUUCAGUGUUAGCAAGCAUAUGUUCUCAAAAGUAAACGAAAUACAGAUAAGGAAGUCACUCCCGCAAUAAAAGAUGGCAAUUGCCCUUCUCCAUCACGGAACACCAAGAAGAGGAUUUACUGUAGGCAAAAUCCCAGCAAGACCCUCAAAGAGAGUGAGAAGAUGGAAAUAUGCAACGAUGUUUGAGUUAUGGUACUUAUUUGUUGAAGAAUUCACUCGACCACUCGACUCAAUCAAACUGUAUUUUGACUAAAGGCGUUCAUCUCAUUGCUGAAACUCGAUCUUCAAACAUCCUAAACUUUCAAGGCCUGGGGAACGUUCAAUCAGGUCAUCACCAAUUGCCCCAAUUUCGUUUAAAAUUCAAUAAAGGAUUUCGAGGGAAGAAUUAAAAAUAAACAAAAUUAC